AAUAGAUACCCAGGUAGUCCACCCCGUAAACGUUGGGAACUAGUUGUGGGGUCCAUUCCACGGAUUCCGUGACACAGCUAACGCAUUAAGUUCCCCGCCUGGGGAGUACGGCCGCAAGGCUAAAACUCAAAGGAAUUGACGGGGACCCGCACAAGCGGCGGAGCAUGCGGAUUAAUUCGAUGCAACGCGAAGAACCUUACCAAGGCUUGACAUACACGAGAACGGGCCAGAAAUGGUCAACUCUUUGGACACUCGUGAACAGGUGGUGCAUGGUUGUCGUCAGCUCGUGUCGUGAGAUGUUGGGUUAAGUCCCGCAACGAGCGCAACCCUCGUUCUAUGUUGCCAGCACGUAAUGGUGGGAACUCAUGGGAUACUGCCGGGGUCAACUCGGAGGAAGGUGGGGAUGACGUCAAAGUCAUCAUGCCCCUUAUGUCUUGGGCUUCACGCAUGCUACAAUGGCCGGUACAAAGGGCUGCAAUACCGUGAGGUGGAGCGAAUCCCAAAAAGCCGGUCCCAGUUCGGAUUGAGGUCUGCAACUCGA
Molecule: ribosomal RNA, 541 nt
Filed under: uncultured bacterium
Lineage: Bacteria
Description: bacterial SSU rRNA
Rfam family: Bacterial small subunit ribosomal RNA
Source: RNAcentral